RNAcentral lists this ribosomal RNA (495 nucleotides) under uncultured bacterium. RNAcentral describes it as "partial 16S ribosomal RNA". It matches the Rfam family "Bacterial small subunit ribosomal RNA", at positions 28 to 507 of the family's 1533-position model. The record is from RNAcentral.
GACGAACGCUGGCGGCGUGCCUAAUACAUGCAAGUAGAACGCUGAAGGAGGAGCUUGCUUCUCUGGAUGGGUUGCGAACGGGUGAGUAACGCGUAGGUAACCUGCCUGGUAGCGGGGGAUAACUAUUGGAAACGAUAGCUAAUACCGCAUAAUAGCAGUUGUUGCAUGAUAACUGUUUGAAAGGUGCAAUUGCACCACUACCAGAUGGACCUGCGUUGUAUUAGCUAGUUGGUGGGGUAACGGCUCACCAAGGCGACGAUACAUAGCCGACCUGAGAGGGUGAUCGGCCACACUGGGACUGAGACACGGCCCAGACUCCUACGGGUGGCAGCAGUAGGGAAUCUUCGGCAAUGGACGGAAGUCUGACCGAGCAACGCCGCGUGAGUGAAGAAGGUUUUCGGAUCGUAAAGCUCUGUUGUAAGAGAAGAACGAGUGUGAGAGUGGAAAGUUCACACUGUGACGGUACCUUACCAGAAAGGGACGGCUAACUACGUG